UUACCGUGAAAAUAAAUACAUUCUGAGCCG
RNAcentral lists this non-coding RNA (30 nucleotides) under Cricetulus griseus (Chinese hamster). The record is from RNAcentral. Lineage: Eukaryota; Metazoa; Chordata; Mammalia; Rodentia; Cricetidae.